This 68-nucleotide transfer RNA is filed under the name Sphaerodactylus townsendi. Its description in RNAcentral is "tRNA-Ser". The record is from RNAcentral. Lineage: Eukaryota; Metazoa; Chordata; Lepidosauria; Squamata; Sphaerodactylidae.
GGAUAAUUCAGUGGUAGACCAUCUACUUUGAAUGCAGAAAGUCCCAGUUUCAACUCCUGGCAUCACCA